This 465-nucleotide ribosomal RNA is filed under the name Vreelandella stevensii. RNAcentral's name for it is "partial 16S ribosomal RNA". It matches the Rfam family "Bacterial small subunit ribosomal RNA", at positions 338 to 795 of the family's 1533-position model. The record is from RNAcentral. Lineage: Bacteria; Pseudomonadati; Pseudomonadota; Gammaproteobacteria; Oceanospirillales; Halomonadaceae.
CCUACGGGCGGCUGCAGUGGGGAAUAUUGGACAAUGGGGGGAACCCUGAUCCAGCCAUGCCGCGUGUGUGAAGAAGGCCCUCGGGUUGUAAAGCACUUUCAGUGAGGAAGAACGCCUGGUGGUUAAUACCCAUCAGGAAAGACAUCACUCACAGAAGAAGCACCGGCUAACUCCGUGCCAGCAGCCGCGGUAAUACGGAGGGUGCGAGCGUUAAUCGGAAUUACUGGGCGUAAAGCGCGCGUAGGUGGCUUGAUAAGCCGGUUGUGAAAGCCCCGGGCUCAACCUGGGAACGGCAUCCGGAACUGUCAAGCUAGAGUGCAGGAGAGGAAGGUAGAAUUCCCGGUGGAGCGGUGAAAUGCGUAGAGAUCGGGAGGAAUACCAGUGGCGAAGGCGGCCUUCUGGACUGACACUGACACUGAGGUGCGCAAGCGUGGGUAGCAAACAGGAUUAGAUACCCGUGUAGUC